RNAcentral lists this ribosomal RNA (253 nucleotides) under uncultured bacterium. RNAcentral's name for it is "partial 16S ribosomal RNA". It matches the Rfam family "Bacterial small subunit ribosomal RNA", at positions 524 to 776 of the family's 1533-position model. The record is from RNAcentral.
CACGGGGGGAGCAAGCGUUGUUCGGAAUCACUGGGCGUAAAGGGUGCGUAGGCGGGUUUUUAAGUCAGGGGUGAAAUCCUGGAGCUCAACUCCAGAACUGCCUUUGAUACUGAAGAUCUUGAGUUCGGGAGAGGUGAGUGGAACUGCGAGUGUAGAGGUGAAAUUCGUAGAUAUUCGCAAGAACACCAGUGGCGAAGGCGGCUCACUGGCCCGAUACUGACGCUGAGGCACGAAAGCGUGGGGAGCAAACAGG